RNAcentral lists this ribosomal RNA (867 nucleotides) under Mermithidae sp. KW-2011-M1. Its description in RNAcentral is "SSU rRNA". It matches the Rfam family "Eukaryotic small subunit ribosomal RNA", at positions 43 to 928 of the family's 1831-position model. Lineage: Eukaryota; Metazoa; Nematoda; Enoplea; Mermithida; Mermithidae. The record is from RNAcentral.
AUKAAGCCAUGCAUGUCUAAGCACACGCCUUUAAACGGUGAAGCCGCGAAUGGCUCGGUAUAACAGCUACGGUUUAUUAGAUUUUAGUUAUCUACUUGGAUAACUGUGGUAAUUCUAGAGCUAAUACAUGCAAGAAAGCUCGGACCUUACGGGAAGAGCGCAUUUAUUAGAUCAAAAUCAAUCGGACUUCGGUUCGUCUUUUGGUGACUCUGAAUAACUAAGUUGAUCGCACAGUCUCGCACUGGCGACGUAUCUUUCAAAUGUCUGCCUUAUCAACUUUCGAUGGUAGGUUAUAUGCCUACCAUGGUUAUAACGGGUAACGGAGAAUAAGGGUUCGACUCCGGAGAGGGAGCCUGAGAAAUGGCUACCACAUCCAAGGAAGGCAGCAGGCGCGCAAAUUACCCAAUCCCAGUACGGGGAGGUAGUGACGAAAAAUAACGAGAUAGUCCACUUUGUGGCCUGUCAUCGGAAUGGGUACAAUCUAAAUCUUUUAACGAGGAUCCAUUAGAGGGCAAGUCUGGUGCCAGCAGCCGCGGUAAUUCCAGCUCUAAUAGCGUAUAUUAAAGUUGUUGUGGUUAAAACGCCCGUAGUUGAUUUUUCGACUCCGGAGGAUGGUAGCUCGAAAGAGUUUAACUGUCUCUUCGAGUCUGAAUUUGAGUUUUCUGCCGAUGCUCUUUACUGAGUGUCGGUAGUGACUUGAACGUUUACUUUGAAAAAAUUAGAGUGCUUAAAGCAAGCUUUACGCUUGAAUAAAGUGCAUGGGAUAAUGGAAUAGGACUUUAGUCUUAUUUUGUUGGUUUUCGAGAUUAAAGUAAUGAUUAAGAGGAACAGACGGGGGCAUUCGUAUUGUUGCGUUAGAGGUGAAAU